GCCGCUUACUCGCAAUCGCGUACCACACCGAUCCAUCUGUCUUGCCUCGCGAUUAAAUCACAUUAUGGUCAUGUUGACUCUUGCUUUAUCUGCAAACUGUUGGACAUUUUAUGCUCCAUUUACGGAGUCCACCAGAGAGCUUGUUAUAUUCAGAUAUUCGACUCUUGAUCAAAUGCAUGCAAGAGCUCAAUUUAUCAUGCAAUUUUAAGCCAAACAAAAACAGUCAAAAUAUUCCGAAAAAAAAACGUUUAAAAGAGACUAAAUUAGUCAUUAAAACCGGCUUAAAAAUGCCGGACGACUAAUCCCGGAAAUGAACUGUUAUUUUUCACAGCCCUAAUAAUGAAGCAUACUUAAAACCAAUGAAAUAAAAUAUUAAGAAAACCCACAUCAUAUUGUUUGGCCAUGCCGUCAUAUGUCAUAUCAACUGCUUUACGUUAACAAUUAACUUUUAAAACAAAAAAACAAGCAAAUCUAUUUUUCUGUAACUAAGAAAUCCUGAAAAUCCGACAAAAUUUUGCCUUUUUCUUACCGCUUUGUAUAAUAAGAUUUCAAUAUUUCAACGCAUUGAAUGAUCUAUAUGAAUAUUGUGUCAAUGCAAUGAUUUUGAACUCUUAUCCUUGAAAAAUAGCGGAAAAAUAUUUGUAAUCGCCAAUAAAACAAAAAAUAUCAAACGUUUCUGACAAAAUAUGACCAAAAUAAUUAUUUCCCUAGAAAAAUUUCGCCAAAUUUUCUUAUAGAAGAUUAUAUUUAAUAUCAGUGAGCAUAUAUUCAAUCUUUGAUAGCAUAGCAAUAAAUUUAUUGUAUCUAUGUUUUUUCAGAAGAUUUGUUCACCAUUUCCCCGCAGCUGACAUCGAAAUUUAGCCAAAACAAUGGAAGAGGAGAUGAUCUUUUUCCUCCUCCUCUUCUUGUCUUACGCACACGGAGCUGAGAUCAAUUUUGAAGAUUUAUCAAUCGACAACUGGAAACUGCUGAUAGGAGCAAAUGGUGGGUGAAACUUAACAAUGCGGUGUUUUGUUUUCUAUAACCCUUAAACCAAUUGACACAUAAAUUAUCGUGAGAAUUCAAUUCAUUUUUCAAAUAUUUCUAAAGUCUCAUAAUUAUUCCAACUCGCUGCCGCGCAUGAGCAGCCGAGUUGGUAAUAAUUAUGACCGAUUGUUGGCAUUAUUAAUCAGCCUAGUUGAAUAAUAUAUAGUUCAGUGGACCACAGUUUAAGGAGAGUGAGUUUUUGUUGGAAGCAUAAUUAAAGAGAGCAAAUAUAAUAAUAAGCGAAUUAGUAAUAUUGAGGAGAGGCUUUUGAGAAUGGCUUGGCCCAGCAGCAGAUAGAGUGUUAAAUUGAGAGGUAUCGGCGCGCCAGCGGCGGCGGAGGCGAAGGUCUGCUCGGCACGGCGGACAGCCCUCCCAGCUCUGCGUGGACCGUAAGUUACAGGGAACAGCCGGCAUAACAUUUUUCGUGGUGUCACAGAGCGAAAGGUUACCACAUUUGAUGAUCCGAGUAGCGUAACCAAUGCAGAAAUAUAAAAUCGAUUAUUGCGCAUCCCCCUUCCAAUUCAAUUUAUUCGCUUUUAAACUUGUAUUUUGACUAAAUUUUGUUGAAUUAUUUCCCCUCAAAAUUUAAAAGAGAGUUUUCAAAUGAUGAAAUUCAUGUAUUUUGCAGAAAAGGAACUGCAUUACGACUUUUGCAAGUAUAACGCGACAAGCAGCGGAACACAGUGCACAAGUUUUCCAAAGGUUGCUUCCAUAAAUAUUAGCGAGGUGUGCAAUUGCUCCGUCAAACACACCGAAACCGAAGUUGGCUCCAUCAAUUUCAGCGUCAUCUGCAACAGCAAUUCAAGUUGGUGCCCUGAGAAUCUGGACCUAAAGUACCAUCAAGGCUCCUUCGAGAAGCCAUCAGAGGCUGAAGAAAUUUCAGCAACUGCUAUCUCUCUGGUCUUGUCCCUAGUCUGCAACGCUUGUUUCAUCAUUAAAGAAGCGUUUGUCACGUGCCGAGACCGAGUGCAUUCUUAUUGCAUGCUGUAGUAUAUGUCAACAGGUCUUCAAAUGAAGAACGCGAUGACGCAGUUUUAACGAGCUCAAGAAGCAACUGCUUUCCAGGACGGAUAAUAACUGUCCUUUGUAUAAUCACCUCAAAUUUCAUUUUUUUUUUCAAAUUAAUGUUUUUCGACUAGAUUAUCAAGUGUGAAAAACUUACAUACCUCUCACAAUCAUUUAUGUUGUAUUCUUUAAUAGCACUAAAAUGAACUGUGACUGGCUCGUGUUAAAUAAGAGAGUGAGGGACGACUGUUGGUGAAAGGCAGCCGCCGCGAUGAUGAAUCAAAGGGAGAGCUCGGCGGGGAGAGAACGAUUUCCUCAAAGCAUGCGGCUAAAAUAUAAUUUGAAAAGUUAUUAGUGCUUUACAGAACAUAACCAACAAUAUUAUUUAGUUCCUUAUCAUAAAACGCUAUUUUUUAAUCACAAAAAUAUUCAUUUUUACUCCUCGCGACUGUCAAGGCCACCUUCAGGCCGCUGACUCACAAUCCCAAAGCCUCUCCGAUUCGCGUUUUCGGUUUGAUUUUUAUUUUCACCUUCUGUUUUUUUUCAAACUAAAGAAUAUAUGACUUUUUAAGUUCAACUCUGUUCAUUGUCUUGCCCCAUACUUCAUGCCCACAUCCCACAUCCACAAUGAAAAUAUUUUUAGCUAUAAAACAAUAUUAAAACGUGCCAGAGACUAGGUUGCUUCAGAAGCAUAGUGGAAAAAUAUUUGAUCUCUCUGAACUAGAGCUUGUCUCAAGACAGGAAACCAAAACUGGAAACCGGAAUCCGGUCCGUUUCCGGUUUUUCACACGGAACCGGAAAUAUUUUAACCGGACAGGAUUUUUUUCCUAGUAGUUGAAACAGGAACUGGAAAUAACCGGAAUAAUUUUUCCAGAACUGGAAAAACAAGAUGGGAAAUUCUGUUCUUUUAUACGAUCUCUUCUAAACUGACAGUGAGACUUGUAUUCUAAUUUAUGUAAAUCUCAACUUGCAACAGAUGCCAUGAAUCUAUAUAAUAAUGAUACUGAUUAAAAACGUUGCCAAAUGUCUCAUCCCGAUGGGCUCAAUCUCAUGUAUCUGGAUUAGACUUACUUUUUUGUACUUUUGUAAUUUUCUGCACGACUAUAGCUGAUAGUAAAAAAAUAAAAAAAAAUGAAAAAAGUGAUACUAAAUACA
Cloeon dipterum is the source of this 3186-nucleotide long non-coding RNA. RefSeq lists it as uncharacterized. The transcript is spliced from 2 exons. The record is from RefSeq and is a predicted model, not a curated record. Lineage: Eukaryota; Metazoa; Arthropoda; Insecta; Ephemeroptera; Baetidae.